RNAcentral lists this ribosomal RNA (818 nucleotides) under uncultured marine archaeon. RNAcentral describes it as "bacterial SSU rRNA". It matches the Rfam family "Archaeal small subunit ribosomal RNA", at positions 52 to 874 of the family's 1478-position model. The record is from RNAcentral.
UGCGAGUCAUUGUAGUAAUACAAGGCAGACGGCUCAGUAACGCGUAGUCAACCUAACCUAUGGACGGGAAUAACCUCGGGAAACUGAGUAUAAUGCCCGAUAGAACAUUAUGCCUGGAAUGGUUUAUGUUCCAAAUGAUUUAUCGCCGUAGGAUGGGACUGCGGCCUAUCAGUUUGUUGGUGAGGUAAUGGCCCACCAAGACUAUUACAGGUACGGGCUCUGAGAGGAGUAGCCCGGAGAUGGGUACUGAGACACGGACCCAGGCCCUAUGGGGCGCAGCAGGCGAGAAAACUUUGCAAUGUGCGAAAGCACGACAAGGUUAAUCCGAGUGGUUUCUGCUAAAGGAACCUUUUGUCGGUCCUAGAAACACCGAUGAAUAAGGGGUGGGCAAGUUCUGGUGUCAGCCGCCGCGGUAAAACCAGCACCUCAAGUGGUCAGGAUGAUUAUUGGGCCUAAAGCAUCCGUAGCCGGCUCUGUAAGUUUUCGGUUAAAUCUGUACGCUCAACGUACAGGCUGCCGGGAAUACUGCAGAGCUAGGGAGUGGGAGAGGUAGACGGUACUCGGUAGGAAGGGGUAAAAUCCUUUGAUCUAUUGAUGACCACCUGUGGCGAAGGCGGUCUACCAGAACACGUCCGACGGUGAGGGAUGAAAGCUGGGGGGAGCAAACCGGAUUAGAUACCCGGGUAGUCCCAGCUGUAAACUAUGCAAACUCAGUGAUGCAUUGGCUUGUGGCCCAAUGCAGUGCUGCAGGGAAGCCGUUAAGUUUGCCGCCUGGGAAGUACGUACGCAAGUAUGAAACUUAAAGGAAUUGGCGGGGG